Molecule: long non-coding RNA, 684 nt
Organism: Alosa sapidissima (American shad)
Lineage: Eukaryota; Metazoa; Chordata; Actinopteri; Clupeiformes; Clupeidae
Exons: 2
Source: RefSeq, a predicted model, not a curated record
CAUCAACUCAUUCCUCUGCGGAGUGAUUUGCUCACACUUACAGUAAUAUGUGUAAUAUGUGUAAUAUGUAAUAAUGUGUGUGUGUGUGUGUGUGUGUGUGUAGAACUGCAUGUGACUGACAUGUCUACAGACUGAUGAUUACUCACAUUAGGAGAUAUAUUCCUAGCUAAAUGAGUCCAUAAUGAGAAUACUGUAGAUGGUACCUAUAGGUGUGUGUGUGUGUGUGUGUGUGUGUGUAGAACUGCAUGUGACUGACAUGUCUACAGACUGAUGAUUAUUCACAUUAGGAGAUAUAUUCCUAGUGAUUAGCUAAAUGAGUCCAUAAUGACAAUACUAUAGAUGGUACCUAUAGAUGGUAUUAUCAGUCUAAUGGCCACUAUUGCUAUUGAAUUCUCUUUUUACUGCUGCUCCCAUGAACAGCUAGAUAUAUUUGCAUAGUUUAGGAAGUUCACUGACAGCACAGACAAGGAACCAAACAAUUCCAAAUGCAGACAAUGAGGCACCAAUGCACCAGAGAAUAACUGAGGGGGUGUGGGGACAGGUAUGAUGUGUACUGUAUCUGUGGAUUAACUUACCCUCCAUCAGAGUGUGUGGGGACAGGUAUGAUGUGUACUGUAUCUGUGGAUUAUCUUACCCUCCAUCAGAGUGUGUUGGUUUGCUGCUUUGUUGCACACAGCUGUGUGC